This 218-nucleotide ribosomal RNA is filed under the name Campeiostachys nutans. RNAcentral's name for it is "Elymus nutans partial small subunit ribosomal RNA". The stretch from base 47 to 218 matches the Rfam family "Eukaryotic small subunit ribosomal RNA", at positions 692 to 864 of the family's 1831-position model. Lineage: Eukaryota; Viridiplantae; Streptophyta; Magnoliopsida; Poales; Poaceae. The record is from RNAcentral.
GGAUCUGUCGGUUGGUCGGGCUUCACUGUCCGCACUGGCCUGAUGGAUUCCUACCUUCUGAAUAACCAGCAUGCUAUUAAGUUAGUGCGUUGGGGAAGCAGAGCUAUUACCUUGAAAAAAUUAGAGUGCUUAAAGCAGGCUUGUGCUUGAAUAGAUUAGCAUGGAAUAAUAAAAUAGGACGGCAUGGUUCUAUUUUGUUGGUUUCUAGGGCUAAAGUA